Molecule: non-coding RNA, 382 nt
Organism: Peromyscus maniculatus bairdii (prairie deer mouse)
Lineage: Eukaryota; Metazoa; Chordata; Mammalia; Rodentia; Cricetidae
Source: RefSeq, a predicted model, not a curated record
UUUUUUUUCUUUUUCUUUUUAAAGGAAUUGAAGAGCUGCUGAUAGUCAUGGCCUUGGCAAAAAUGAAGCUCUUCCUGUAGUCCGCCACUAGAAAUAGCAUCUCUACCUUCGUCCAGAGACAGUGGACUCCAGAGACAGUGGACUGAGAAGCAGUGGACUCCAGAGGCAGUGAAAUCCAGAGACAGUGGACUCUAGAGACUGUGGAAUCCAGAGGCAGUAAAAUCUAGAGACAGUGGAAUCCAGAGGCAGUGGACUCCAGAGACAGUGGACUCCAGAGACUGUGGACUCCAGAGACAGUGGACUCUAGAGACUGUGGAAUCCAGAGGCAGUGGAAUCCAGAGGCAGUGGAAUCCAGAGACAGUGAAAUCCAGAGGCAGUGGAA